Molecule: long non-coding RNA, 315 nt
Organism: Lolium rigidum
Lineage: Eukaryota; Viridiplantae; Streptophyta; Magnoliopsida; Poales; Poaceae
Exons: 2
Source: RefSeq, a predicted model, not a curated record
GACGACGCUGACGAGAUCCUCCUCCGGCGACUGGUCCCGCUGGAGAUCCUCUGGCGGCGGCGCGGUUUCCGGAGUUCGGCGGCAAUGACUUCUAAUGUUCUUCAAACUGCAUGACACUGAGUUUAUGGCGGUGGUUGCUCAUCUGUUGGGUCGACAUUUAUUUGUGUGUUGGGUCGACAUUUAUUUAUGUGUGUGUUCUUGUUCGAGAAGAUUGCAUAACAUAAUUGCAUGACACCGAGUUUAUGUUAAAGACGGGGUUUUUAAUUUACUGAUUGUCCAUUAUCACGUCUUGGUAUGCAAAGAUUGAGUUUUUAU